CCCCUAGAUGUUCUGGGCCGCACGCGCGCUACACUGAACAGUUCAACAAGUCUUAACCUUGGCCGAUAGGUCUGGGUAAUCUUUGAACGCUGUUCGUGAUUGGGAUAGACCUUUGCAAUUAUGGGUCUUCAACGAGGAAUUCCUAGUAAACGCAAGUCAUCAGCUUGCAUUGAUUACGUCCCUGCCCUUUGUACAUACCGCCCGUCGCACCUACCGAUUGAAUGGUCCGGUGAAAUCUCGGGACGGCGGCUUGGUCGCUUGCGUCCGACUGCUGAAACUUGAUUAAACCAUAUCAUUUAGAGGAAGGUGAAGUCGUAACA
RNAcentral lists this ribosomal RNA (320 nucleotides) under uncultured eukaryote. Its description in RNAcentral is "partial 18S ribosomal RNA". It matches the Rfam family "Eukaryotic small subunit ribosomal RNA", at positions 1470 to 1796 of the family's 1831-position model. The record is from RNAcentral.